This 444-nucleotide ribosomal RNA is filed under the name uncultured Eubacteriales bacterium. RNAcentral describes it as "bacterial SSU rRNA". It matches the Rfam family "Bacterial small subunit ribosomal RNA", at positions 335 to 796 of the family's 1533-position model. The record is from RNAcentral. Lineage: Bacteria; Bacillati; Bacillota; Clostridia; Eubacteriales.
UGUCCUACGGGAGGCAGCAGUGGGGAAUAUUGGGCAAUGGGCGAAAGCCUGACCCAGCAACGCCGCGUGAAGGAAGAAGGUCUUCGGAUCGUAAACUUCUAUCCUUGGUGAAGAUAAUGACGGUAGCCGAGAAGGAAGCCCCGGCUAACUACGUGCCAGCAGCCGCGGUAAUACGUAGGGGGCAAGCGUUGUCCGGAAUGAUUGGGCGUAAAGGGCGCGUAGGCGGCCUGGUAAGUCUGGAGUGAAAGUCCUGCUUUUAAGGUGGGAAUUGCUUUGGAUACUGUCGGGCUUGAGUGCAGGAGAGGUAAGUGGAAUUCCCGGUGUAGCGGUGAAAUGCGUAGAGAUCGGGAGGAACACCAGUGGCGAAGGCGACUUACUGGACUGUAACUGACGCUGAGGCGCGAAAGUGUGGGGAGCAAACAGGAUUAGAUACCCUAGUAGUCA